GAGGGGGAUAACAGUUGGAAACGACUGCUAAUACCCCAUACUCCUUCUCAUUAUAAGAUGAGUCGGGAAAGUUUUUUCGCUAAAGGAUUGGGCUAUAUGGUAUCAGCUUGUUGGUGAGGUAACGGCUCACCAAGGCUAUGACGCCUAACUGGUCUGAGAGGAUGAUCAGUCACACUGGAACUGAGACACGGUCCAGACUCCUACGGGAGGCAGCAGUGGGGAAUAUUACACAAUGGAGGAAACUCUGAUGUAGCAACGCCGCGUGGAGGAUGACACAUUUCGGUGCGUAAACUCCUUUUAUAUGGGAAGAUAAUGACGGUACCAUAUGAAUAAGCACCGGCUAACUCCGUGCCAGCAGCCGCGGUAAUACGGAGGGUGCAAGCGUUACUCGGAAUCACUGGGCGUAAAGCGCAUGUAGGCGGUCUUGUAAGUUGGGUGUGAAAGCCUAUGGCUCAACCAUAGAACUGCACCCAAAACUACUAGACUAGAGUCUGGGAGAGGAAAAUGGAAUUAGUUGUGUAGGGGUAAAAUCCGUAGAGAUAACUAGGAAUACCAAAAGCGAAGGCAAUUUUCUGGAACAGUACUGACGCUCAGAUGCGAAAGCGUGGGUAGCAAACAGGAUUAGAUACCCUGGUAGUCCACG
Molecule: ribosomal RNA, 643 nt
Filed under: uncultured Campylobacterota bacterium
Lineage: Bacteria; Pseudomonadati; Campylobacterota
Description: bacterial SSU rRNA
Rfam family: Bacterial small subunit ribosomal RNA
Source: RNAcentral